Molecule: long non-coding RNA, 470 nt
Filed under: Zostera marina
Lineage: Eukaryota; Viridiplantae; Streptophyta; Magnoliopsida; Alismatales; Zosteraceae
Description: long non-coding RNA (ZMAR_LNC004914)
Source: RNAcentral
UCAAUACAAUUUCACAUACCAAUUUCAUACAUUCACAUUACAAUACAAUUCAAUACAAUACAAUUCAAGUCACAAUUCAAUUCACAUUCACAUUACAAUUCACAUUACAUUCACAGUACAAUAUGUUUUACAAUUUUUUUUGUUGAACAAUAUUGGAAAUAUCUAAAGUCUUACCUUUUGGUCGAGGUGUCGAAUUCAAAUUAGUAUCUUCUUCCCAAUAAUUUCUCGAUAAUGGAAUAAGUUGGUUCAACUGAGAAGAAACAGGAACAUUACUCGAUGAUGGACGAUUCGGGUCGUUGCUUGUAACAUUAGCCUGAAAAUAAAUGAAGAUAUUCAAAAAAUUAAUAAAUUUAAAAACUAAUUUAAAAACAUUUAUUAAACUCACCUGUAUAUUGUCAAUUAACCGUUGUUCCAGCAUUUUAAAUCGUUUUUCGUUUUCUAUUUCUAACGCUUCCAUUCGUUUAUCAACN